This 120-nucleotide ribosomal RNA is filed under the name Boletus reticulatus. RNAcentral describes it as "partial 5.8S ribosomal RNA". It matches the Rfam family "5.8S ribosomal RNA", at positions 35 to 154 of the family's 154-position model. Rfam says of the family: 5.8S ribosomal RNA (5.8S rRNA) is a component of the large subunit of the eukaryotic ribosome. It is transcribed by RNA polymerase I as part of the 45S precursor that also contains 18S and 28S rRNA. Lineage: Eukaryota; Fungi; Basidiomycota; Agaricomycetes; Boletales; Boletaceae. The record is from RNAcentral.
GAUGAAGAACGCAGCGAAUUGCGAUAAGUAAUGUGAAUUGCAGAUUUUCAGUGAAUCAUCGAAUCUUUGAACGCACCUUGCGCUCCUUGGUAUUCCGAGGAGCAUGCCUGUUUGAGUGUC